This 253-nucleotide ribosomal RNA is filed under the name uncultured bacterium. RNAcentral's name for it is "partial 16S ribosomal RNA". It matches the Rfam family "Bacterial small subunit ribosomal RNA", at positions 524 to 776 of the family's 1533-position model. The record is from RNAcentral.
UACGUAGGGCGCAAGCGUUGUCCGGAAUUAUUGGGCGUAAAGAGCUCGUAGGCGGCCUGUUGCGUCCGCUGUGAAAUCCCGGGGCUCAACCCCGGGCGUGCAGUGGAUACGGGCUGGCUGGAGGCAGGCAGGGGAGAACGGAAUUCCUGGUGUAGCGGUGAAAUGCGCAGAUAUCAGGAGGAACACCGGUGGCGAAGGCGGUGGGCUGGGCCGGCACUGACGCUGAGGAGCGAAAGCGUGGGGAGCGAACAGG